RNAcentral lists this long non-coding RNA (1554 nucleotides) under Nicotiana tabacum (common tobacco). RNAcentral describes it as "long non-coding RNA (NTAB_LNC010732)". The record is from RNAcentral. Lineage: Eukaryota; Viridiplantae; Streptophyta; Magnoliopsida; Solanales; Solanaceae.
AAAAUAUAUGUACAGGGCCUACAAGCCCAAUAUACUGCACUAACUGACAGGAUAUAUCUACAAGGCUCUACUGAUAGAUGUACUGCGAUCCGAACAUGACCCCGACCUACCCAUAACCUAUCUACAUAUAUAAACAAGAUGUACACCAAAAUGCUAGACCCGGCAACUCCGAAAGAAGGGGAGCUUACGGGCAACACCUGCUAGGGAGGUCUACCCGUCUGUCUGUCUGAACCUGCACGCAUGAAAUGCAACGCCCCCAAAAAGGGACAUUAAUACGAAAUAAUAUACCAAGUAUGUAAGGUAAUAUGCAGAAAGUUGAAACUGAAUUGAUAAUAUAAUAACUGAAAACAACUGGAGGUCAAAAAUAACCUGAAGAUAUGCUCACCUGCUGAUACUGACUCUAUUCUCUCACUAUAGUAAGUAAAAUAGUUGUCUGGCCUUAUAAGGCUUGGCAUAUAUAUAUAUUAUUGUUCUACCGUAGUAAGCUCGCACAUAGGCGCUCGGCCAUACUAGGCUCUGUAUCUCGACCAACUGGGCUAGCUCAUAGGCGCUCGGCCACAGUAAGCUCGGUAUAUAUCUUACCAUCUGAUAAGAGGUUUCCCAAUAGGGUCCUUCCCAUCGAUUAUAGCUCGAUGGUAAUAAAAAAAUGUAAUACUGUAUAUAUAAACUCUCUUCUCUCUUGACUGGAAGAAGGAAAUACUCAAUUUAUAAAAUACUCGUCGUUUGGUUAAAAGAAGAAUGGCUGGUACCAUAACAAUGGUAAAAAGAUCAGUAGGCGUAAUAAAAUUAGGGGCAAUAAGGUAAGUAUUUCAACAUCUCCAAUAUUCAACAACUAAUCAAUAACACUCUGAAAAGAGUUUUACUUCAGUAUUCAUCAAAAAUUCAAAACCAAAAAGUGAUUUGCUUAUCUAAUUAUUUGCUUAAGGUACAAACUUUCUUUGCCUCCUGAGUAAAAUUUUCAAUUCCUUUUUCUUUUCACCUAAUUGCCAACCUUUGUAACGAUGCUUAAAGUGAGAAGGUGGUGACUAAUUAUUUUUCUUUUCUCUCAUGCCAAAAGAAGAAAAGAAGAAAUAUUCAACAAGGCAAUCCUUUUUAUACCACGUAUAUAAUAGUCUUGCAAUUCAAAAAGCUGCCUUCAUGCUUUUGUUCCAGUAGAGGUUCGUGCUUGUAGAGGGUGAUUUCUAAAAAUACAUGGUAUUAACUUACAAAUCUAGGAAAAUAUACGUAACUUGCGAGACUAGCAAAAUAUACGUAAAUUCCGGGAUAUGAAUUUUUUUUCUUCGUGCCAUAUUGUCAAACUUCUGUAAUUACGAGAUCAUGCAAAAUGAAGGAAGAGCUUAGCCUUAACAUACCUGGAAUAAGGAAAAAUCCAUAUGAUGUUCUUGGAAAAGGUUACACCAUACUCCCUUAGAACCACGAAAUUUUACGUUGCUAAAUCUUGUUGGAAUCAUUGAAACGUGUAGGAAAUCAUGUUGCUUAAUGAAAUAUGUAGAUUCUAGUUUCAAAGUCUUCAGGAAUGAAAUUUGAAAGAGUUUAAGAAUGACUAACGUUUUU